RNAcentral lists this transfer RNA (68 nucleotides) under Ephedra sinica (Chinese ephedra). RNAcentral's name for it is "partial tRNA-Thr". It matches the Rfam family "tRNA". Rfam says of the family: Transfer RNA (tRNA) molecules are approximately 80 nucleotides in length. The record is from RNAcentral. Lineage: Eukaryota; Viridiplantae; Streptophyta; Gnetopsida; Ephedrales; Ephedraceae.
UUUUUACUCAGUGGUAGAGUAAAGCCAUGGUAAGGCGUAAGUCAUCGGUUCAAAUCCGAUAAUGGACU